This 761-nucleotide ribosomal RNA is filed under the name Elusimicrobiaceae bacterium. RNAcentral's name for it is "bacterial SSU rRNA". It matches the Rfam family "Bacterial small subunit ribosomal RNA", at positions 1 to 766 of the family's 1533-position model. Lineage: Bacteria; Pseudomonadati; Elusimicrobiota; Elusimicrobia; Elusimicrobiales; Elusimicrobiaceae. The record is from RNAcentral.
UUAAUGGAGAGUUUGAUCCUGGCUCAGAGUUAACGCUGGCAGCGUGCAUAACACAUGCAAGUCGAACGGGGAUUAUUCGAUGUAGCAAUACAUUGAAUGAUUCUAGUGGCAGACGAGUGAGUAAUACAUAAGAAAUCUACCCGAAAGUGGGGAAUAACGGGCCGAAAGGUUCGCUAAUACCCCAUAAUAUUUGAAAGCGGCAUCGCUUUCUUCUUAAAGGUUUUUCGCUUUCGGACGAUCUUAUGGUCUAUCAGCUAGUUGGUAGGGUAACGGCCUACCAAGGCGACGACGGAUAGCCGGCCUGAAAGGGCGACCGGCCACGGGGGCACUGAGAUACGGGCCCCACUCCUACGGGAGGCAGCAGUGGGGAAUUUUGGACAAUGGACGAAAGUCUGAUCCAGCAACGCUGCGUGAAGGACGAAGGUUCUCGGAUUGUAAACUUCUUUUGCAGGGGAAGAAACAAAUGACGGUACCCUGUGAAUAAGCCACGGCUAACUACGUGCCAGCAGCCGCGGUAAGACGUAGGUGGCAAGCGUUACUCGGAAUUACUAGGCGUAAAGCGCGCGUAGGCGGAAUUUUAAGUCUGUUGUGUAAUCUCUGGGCUCAACCCAGAAACUGCAACAGAAACUGAAUUUCUUGAGUGAGGCAGAGGAAGACGGAAUUCCUGGUGUAGCAGUGAAAUGCGUAGAUAUCAGGAGGAACACCGGUGGCGAAGGCGGUCUUCUGGGCCUUUACUGACGCUCAAGCACGAAAGCUAGGGG